Molecule: ribosomal RNA, 507 nt
Filed under: uncultured bacterium
Lineage: Bacteria
Description: bacterial SSU rRNA
Rfam family: Bacterial small subunit ribosomal RNA
Source: RNAcentral
GAUCCUGGCUCAGGAUGAACGCUGGCGGCGUGCCUAACACAUGCAAGUCGAACGGAAAGUAAGCGCUUCGGAGACUUCGGUCAAUGUAUGCUUGCUUUAGUGGCGGACGGGUGAGUAACGCGUGGAUAACCUGCCAUAUACAGGGGGAUAACAGUUAGAAAUGACUGCUAAUACCGCAUAAGCGCACGGUCUCGCAUGGGACAGGUGUGAAAAAACUCCGGUGGUAUAUGAUGGAUCCGCGUCUGAUUAGCCAGUUGGCGGGGUAACGGCCCACCAAAGCGACGAUCAGUAGCCGGCCUGAGAGGGUGAACGGCCACAUUGGGACUGAGACACGGCCCAAACUCCUACGGGAGGCAGCAGUGGGGGAUAUUGCACAAUGGGGGAAACCCUGAUGCAAGCGACGCCGCGUGAGUGAAGGAGUAUUUCGGUAUGUAAAGCUCUAUCAGCAGGGAAGAUAAUGACGGUACCUGACUAAGAAGCACCGGCUAAAUACGUGCCAGCCGCCGC